This 86-nucleotide transfer RNA is filed under the name Marinomonas ostreistagni. Its description in RNAcentral is "tRNA-Tyr". It matches the Rfam family "tRNA". From Rfam's summary of the family: Transfer RNA (tRNA) molecules are approximately 80 nucleotides in length. Their secondary structure includes four short double-helical elements and three loops (D, anti-codon, and T loops). Further hydrogen bonds mediate the characteristic L-shaped molecular structure. tRNAs have two regions of fundamental functional importance: the anti-codon, which is responsible for specific mRNA codon recognition, and the 3' end, to which the tRNAs corresponding amino acid is attached (by aminoacyl-tRNA synthetases). tRNAs cope with the degeneracy of the genetic code in two manners: having more than one tRNA (with a specific anti-codon) for a particular amino acid; and 'wobble' base-pairing, i.e. permitting non-standard base-pairing at the 3rd anti-codon position. Lineage: Bacteria; Pseudomonadati; Pseudomonadota; Gammaproteobacteria; Oceanospirillales; Oceanospirillaceae. The record is from RNAcentral.
GGGGUGGUAGGAAAAUUGGUUUAACCCCAUCGGGCUGUAAACCCGACGCGAAAGCGCUGUGAGUUCAAGUCUCACCCACCCCACCA